This 26-nucleotide non-coding RNA is filed under the name Mus musculus (house mouse). The record is from RNAcentral. Lineage: Eukaryota; Metazoa; Chordata; Mammalia; Rodentia; Muridae.
CAAGAAGCUCUUACCCUCCACUCAGG